RNAcentral lists this ribosomal RNA (353 nucleotides) under uncultured bacterium. RNAcentral's name for it is "bacterial SSU rRNA". It matches the Rfam family "Bacterial small subunit ribosomal RNA", at positions 8 to 353 of the family's 1533-position model. The record is from RNAcentral.
AGAGUUUGAUCAUGGCUCAGGAUGAACGCUAGCGGCAGGCUUAACACAUGCAAGGUCGAGGGGCAGCAUUCGGGUAGUCAAUACCUGAGAUGGCGACCGGCGCACGGGUGCGUAACGCGUAUGCAACCUACCCAUAACAGGGGCAUAACACUGAGAAAUUGGUACUAAUUCCCCAUAACAUUCGAAGAGGCAUCUUUUCGGGUUGAAAACUCCGGUGGUUAUGGAUGGGCAUGCGUUGUAUUAGCUGGUUGGUGAGGUAACGGCUCACCAAGGCGACGAUACAUAGGGGGACUGAGAGGUUAACCCCCCACAUUGGUACUGAGACACGGACCAAACUCCUACGGGAGGCAGCA